CCUGGCCCCAUUCUCCGGUCCUCCAGCGCAAGCGCCACCAUCGCCAGCGCCACUUCGGCGUCAGCUCGCUCCGCUCUCUCCUUCCCAUGCCAAGGCUCGCUCAAGGCGCGAUGGCGCCGGAUCGCACGCGAGCAGGGUAAGGCGCAAGAAACGCCCGGACGCGCUAACAAAAGAAGCC
Molecule: long non-coding RNA, 178 nt
Filed under: Peromyscus maniculatus bairdii (prairie deer mouse)
Lineage: Eukaryota; Metazoa; Chordata; Mammalia; Rodentia; Cricetidae
Description: Adaptive response 33 conserved region 4 (ENSPEMG00000002971.2)
Rfam family: Adaptive response 33 conserved region 4
Source: RNAcentral